This 518-nucleotide ribosomal RNA is filed under the name uncultured archaeon. RNAcentral's name for it is "bacterial SSU rRNA". It matches the Rfam family "Archaeal small subunit ribosomal RNA", at positions 463 to 981 of the family's 1478-position model. The record is from RNAcentral.
AGCCGCGGUAAUACCUGCAGCCCAAGUGGUGGUCGAUUUUAUUGAGUCUAAAACGUUCGUAGCCGGUUUGAUAAAUCCUUGGGUAAAUCGGAGAGCUUAACUUUCCGACUUCCGAGGAGACUGUCAAACUUGGGACCGGGAGAGGCAAGAGGUACUUGAGGGGUAGGGGUAAAAUCCUGUAAUCCUUUAAGGACCACCGGUGGCGAAGGCGUCUUGCUAGAACGGAUCCGACGGUGAGGGACGAAGCCCUGGGUCGCAAACGGGAUUAGAUACCCCGGUAGUCCAGGGUGUAAACGCUGCAGACUUGGUGUUGGAGAUCCUUCGUGGGUAUUCAGUGCCGGAGAGAAGUUGUUAAGUCUGCUACUUGGGGAGUACGUCCGCAAGGAUGAAACUUAAAGGAAUUGGCGGGGGAGCACCGCAACGGGAGGAGCGUGCGGUUUAAUUGGAUUCAACACCGGAAAACUCACCAGGAGCGACGGUUACAUGAAAGUCAGGCUGAUGACCUUACUCGAUUUUCC